AAUUUUGCACUAUGGGCGCAAGCCCGAUCCAGCCAUGCCGCGUGAGUGAAGUAGGCCUUCGGGGUGUAAAUCUCUUUCGGACGGAAAGAAAUCGUGCAGGCUAAUACCCUGCGCGGAUGACGGUACCGUCAUAACAAGCACCUGCUAACUACGCGCCCGCAGCCGCGGUAACACCUAGGGUGCGAGCGUUAAUCGGAAUUACUGGGCGUAAAGCGUGCGCAGGCGGUUGAUUAAGACAGGCGUGAAAACCCCGGGGCUAACCUAGGAAAUGCGCUUGUGACUGGUCAGCUAGAGUACGGCAGAGGGGGGUUGAAUUCCACGUGUAGCAGUGAAAUGCGUAGGGAUGUGGAGGAACACCGAUGGCGAAGGCAGCCCCCUGGGCCGAUACUGACGCUCAUGCACGAAAGCGUGGGUAGCAAACAGG
This 424-nucleotide ribosomal RNA is filed under the name uncultured bacterium. RNAcentral's name for it is "partial 16S ribosomal RNA". It matches the Rfam family "Bacterial small subunit ribosomal RNA", at positions 360 to 776 of the family's 1533-position model. The record is from RNAcentral.